CCCUAGAUUUUUUAGAAUUUUUUUAUAUAAAAUCAUGUCAUCUAUUUAAAAAAGUUCUGCUGCUUUCUUUUUAAUUUAUAGGCCUUAUUUUUUUUUCUUGUGUUGCAUUCUCUAGUACUUCCGGCAUAACGCUGAAUAGAGGGGGAGUAGACAUGUUAUUUCUGAACUCAGAAAGCACUCAAUGUUUCAUUAAGCACAACAUUCACUGUUAAGACUUUAAACAAGAAAAGACCCAGUUGUCAAUAAUAUUUAUUAGAAGGACAGAGCGACAGUGACAAGGCAGAGACCCUUCACCUGCUGACUCACUCCACAACCGGGCUGACGCCAGGAGCCCAGACCUCCAUCUUAGUCUCCCUCACGGUGGCAGGUGCCCAAGUGCUUCCGUCAUCAACCCCUGCCUUCUUAGGCUCAUUAGCAGGGAGCUGGAUUGAAAGUGGAGUAGGGGAGACUCGAACUGGUACUCAGACCUGGGAUGCUGGCCUGGCAAGGGUGGUGGCUGAACCUGCCGUGCCUCGACACUGCCGCCCCCAGUGUUUUUGUGUGCCUGUUAGCAGAUUCUGUUAGUGUAUUGCAUUACAACUGCUGGCUUUCUAACAUGGAACCAAAGUUGUAACCCUGGCCUAAGUUCUACUUACUAAUAGCAUUUAUCCUUACAUAACGCUGAAUUUGGUUUUCUAAUAUUUCAUUGAGGAGUUUGCGUCUUUACUCAGGAUUUGUGAUUGUCUUUUUUUCUUGUGCCAGUCUCCUGAAGCAACCCGAACAGUGUGUCCUCUUUUCCUGAAGAGUAUAUGAGACUGGGGUUACAUUUUUCCAGAAGCCUUUGAUAUAACUUAUAUGUGAAGCUAGGACUUUUCCUCACUGAGAGGUUUUAAAUUAGGAAUUCAAUUUUGAAAAAGGAUCUAAGGCUAUUUGAAUUUUUGUAUCGUCCUUGUUAAUUUUGAUAAAGAUAAACUGUGACACAAAGGGAUUAAUUUGUCCAAAGUUGCAAAAAGAGAAAAUGAAAGAAUCGGGCUUCUGACCCCCUCUGCUGUAGCUGCCUUCAACACACAGAAACAGCUUGGGGCCGGUGCUGUGGCACAGCAGGUUAAUGCCCUGGCCUGAAGUGCCGGCAUCCUAUAUGGGCACCGGUUCAAGACACGGCUGCUCCGCUUCCCAUCCAACUCUCUGCUGUGGAUUGGAACAGCAGUAGAAGAUGGCGCAAGUCCUUGGGCCCCUGCACUCACGUGGGAGACUCAAAAGAAGCUUCUGGCUCCCGGCUUCGGAUCAGCGCAGCUCCAGCCAUUGUGGCCAAUUGGGGAAUAAACCAUCGGAUAGAAGACCUCUCUCUCUCUCUCUCCCUCUCUCUGCCUCUCCUCUCUCUGCCUCUCCUCUCUCUGUGUAACUCUGACUUUCAAGUAAAAUAAAUAAAUCUUAAAAAAAAAAAGAAAGAAAAAAGAGAAGAGCUUAUCUCAUGACCAACUACAGAAAGGGCUUAACAAGUAAUAAAAUGCUGUUGUUAAACAGAGAUUUCAGGGGGCCAGUUCUGUGGUGUAGUAGGUUAAACAUCCGCCUGCAGCACGAGCAUCCCAUAUGGGCUCUGGUUCGAGUCCCGGCUGCUCCACUUCCAAUCCAGCUCUCUGCUGUGGCCUGGGAAAGCAGUGGAAAAUGGCCCAAGUGCUUGGGCCCCUGCACCCACGUGGGAGACCUGGAAGAAGCUCCUGCCUCCAGGUUUUGGAUCUGUGCAGCUCCGGCAGUUGCAGCCAGUUGGGGAGUGAAUCAGUGGAUAGAAGUCCUCUCUCUCUGUUUCUCUCUCUGUGUAACUCUGACUUUCAAAUAAAUAGAUAAAUCUUUUUAAAAUGAUUUAUUUACUUGAGAGGCAGAGUUACAAAGAGAGGGAGAGACAGAGAAAGAGAUUUCCAUCCACUGGUUCACUCCCCAGAUGUCCACAAUGGUUGGAGCUGGGCUGAUCCAGAGUCAGGAGCCAGGAGCCAGGAGCUUCUUCCAGGUCUUCCACGUGGGUGCAGGGGCCCAAGGACUUGGGCCAUCUUCUACUGCCUUCCCAGGCCACAGCAGAGAGCUGGAUCAGGAGUGGAGCAGCCAGGUCUAGAAAAUGGCACCCACAUGGGAUGCCGGCACUGCAGGCGGUGGCUUUACCUGCUCCAUCACAGGGCAGGCCCCAGAAAUAAAUCUUAAAAAAAAAAUUAAACAAACAAAAAAACCAGAGAUUUCAGGAAUUGAGGCGGUGACCAUCUGGGUGUGUAAGGAAUGUUGACAAAAGUGGGCAAACCUGGAACAGAGAUGUCUAUGGGCUUCCUGUAUUUCGCUCUUCUUGCUUUGGGAAUGUUGAGUGACACCUGGCUGUCCAUGUGGGCAGGCGGAAAGAGCCAGGAUGGGAAGAGAGUGGGAAAUGCCCGCCGUGGUUAGAGGAAUGCCCUCGGGCCCACCUAUCAGCUGAGGAUGAGCGCAGCCGGAGGCAGUGCGCGAGGGCACAGUGAUGAGCUCUCAUUUGUCACGUGUCAGUUCGCGGAGGGGGCCUCAGGAUCUGGUGUCUAACAAGUCCUAGAAACCAGAAAGAACAAUCCGGCUCCCCCAACAGUGCCUCUUGCCCUUUCGCACGGGACUCUGUUUCAAUUUUCCCCGCGGAGCUGUGACAAGCCAACAGUCAGCAUCAUCGAUCCCAUUUUAUCCAUGAGGAGGCCCGAUUUGAGAAAUGAAAUGACCAGGCCCAAGGUCACUGAGCUGCUCAGUAACCGACCUGGGGCUUGAGUUCAACUCUUCCCUUUGGGUUCUGUACGUUAUCCCCAGUGAACUAAGCAGGCCGUGUGUUCUGCAGAACCCAUUUAUUUCUGUUCUCCAGUGUGUGUGCAUGCGUGCUAGACGCUUAAACAUUUGUGUUUAUGAGAUAAUUUCAUAUUCAGCUGCAGAAGCUAAAAGUGGCAGCCUUAUGUCUCUUUCUGGCCCGCCGGGGUGCCAGGUUUGUCAGGCUGAUAUGCUAGAUCUUGGGUGGUGUCAGGGGAAGACACCCACAGCCUUUGGUUAAAAGACUCUGAGACUUCAAGGACUGCGGCUGUCUGCGAGAGGCUGCCGUGCUCCGUGGGAUGUGAGGCUGUAGACAUUUCAAUCAGGCGCUCCACGGAGGGUCCAGGGCUGCAGAACACGGUGUAUCUCGGGACAGACGAUGCAAGGACCCAAGUAGAUGGACCCUCACCAGCACGUGAGCUCCUGGAGGAUGACUCCUGGGUAAGGGUGCCUUUUCAUCUCUCGUAAUUUACAUUCUGAGCUCUUACCUAGAAUAAAUCGUACUCUAUCUAAUUAGCCUGAUAAUCCACUUUGUUUAGAAUGGAGAGGGGGAAAUAUGUUGAUCUCCCUGUUAGCAGGAUAUGAAAUGUGCCCAAAGCAGAAUAUUUUUUCUAUCGUGCAUAACAUUAAUCGCUACCGUUCUUAAAAAUGAAUAACUAUUAUUCUGUGGCUUAGUGUUACCCUUUAUGGGUUUCCAGGUGACAAUUUAUUUCAGGAAGAAUUCUCACCAGAAAAUAUUCUUUUUUUUUAAGAUUUAUUUAUUUGAGAGGCAGAGUUACAGAGAGAGGGAGAGAAGGGGAGGGUGGGGAAAGGGAAGGAAGAUGGGAGAGAAAGAGAGAGAGAGAGAGAGAGAGGUCUUCCAUCCACUGGUUCACUCCCCAAAUGGCCGCAAUAGCCAUAGUUGAGCUGAUCCAAAGCCAGGAGCCAGGAGCUUCUUCCAGGUCUCCCACAUGGGUGCAGGGGCCCAAGGACUUGGGCCAUCUUCCACUGCUUUCCCAGGCCAUAACAGAGAAGUGGAUUGGAAGUGGAGCAGCUGGGACUUGAACUGGCACCCAUAUGGGAUGCUGGCCCCGCAGGUGGUGGCUUUACCCACUAAGCCACAGAGCUGGCCCCCAGAAAAAAAAAAGAUUUUUAAUUAUUUAUUUGGAAGUCGGAGUUACAGAGACAGAGACACAGAGAGAUCUUCCAUCCACUGGUUCACUCCUGGAAGCUGGGGUGUUGUGGUGGAGCAAGUAAAGCCACCACCUGAUGGCCUCCCAUAUGGAGCACAAGUUCCAAUCGUGGCUGCUCCUCUUCUGAUCCAUUUCCCUGCUAACAUGCCUGGGAGGCAGUGGAAGAUGGCCCAAGUGCCUGGGCCCCUACCACCCACAUGGGAGACCCAGAUGGAGCUUCUGGCUCAUAGCUUCAGCCUGGCCCAGCCCCCGCCAUUGUGGCCAUCUGGGGAGUGAACCAGUGAACAGAAAAUCAAUCUCUCUCUCUCUCUCUCUCUCUCUCUCUCUCUCUCUCUCUCUUCCUCCCUCUGUUGCUCUGCUUUUCAAAACAAACAAGGAAGAGAACAGAAAAAAAGACUUGGAAGUCCAAUCUGCUCUGCUCAAUGCUAAGAAACCUCCCCGGGACAGACUGAUCUCCAGCUCCUGAAUUCAUGACUGCUCUCAAGGUUGAGUGAUGCUUCCAGUGGGUUGUUGUCCACGCCAAGUCUUCGCUGCCAUUCCACAGUCUUAUUCUCCCCUUGACUGGCUUGGGCAUCUCCAUGUGGACAAGUGCACAAGCCGACAGCCACCCGUGCCCUCUGUCCAGGGAGACUGCGGCCUCCUUGAGAUAACUUGGGAGGCUGGGAAACAUGAGCCUGACAGAGCUCUUACAUAGGAAAUGAUUAUUCUUUGCCUACUGAGAUUCUUACUUUAAAAAACCCAGAGGAAAUUGUAUUUUUAAAUUUAUUUAACAUUGAUGUGCAAUAUUUACAAUUACAAAAUGAUUCACAGUAUAACAGAAUGGAAAGAAAUUUUUACUUGGGUAUAUAAUUGUCUUUUCUUUCAUAUUAAUUUAUUCCUUUGAUUAAUAUAAUGUGUUCUCCACUUGGUCUUUUGAGAUCAUGUACAAUAGUAACACAUUUAGAAUAAUAUUAAUAAAAGAUUAUUUUGUAUCACUCAUAGGGAAAAUCAAGCAGCAUUUCUGUUCUUUAUAAAUGUUAUGCAAGAGAGCAUAAUAUAGUCCCCAGAAUACUGUCUGUAAUACCAGCUGUGUGUGUUCCUGGGGCUUGCAAAAUAUUCUUAGUGCCUGGUCCUUAUUUGUGUGUGUAUGUGUGUGUGUGCGCGUGUGUGUUGGGUCACUCUCCUCUUGUCCUGUAUGUGCAUGUGUGUGUGUGUUGGGUCACUCUCCGCUUGUCCUUGUGUGUGUGUGUGUGUGUGUGCAUGCGUGUGUGUUGGGUCACUCUCCUCUUGUCCUGUGUGUGCAUGUGUGUGUGUGUGUUGGGUCACUCUCC
This is a non-coding RNA of Oryctolagus cuniculus (rabbit), 5260 nucleotides long. The record is from RefSeq and is a predicted model, not a curated record. NCBI's taxonomy places the organism in Eukaryota, Metazoa, Chordata, Mammalia, Lagomorpha, Leporidae.